AAAAUGAUUUUUUUAAAAAUCACCUUUACACUCAAAAACUGUAUU
Octopus bimaculoides (California two-spot octopus) is the source of this 45-nucleotide non-coding RNA. NCBI's taxonomy places the organism in Eukaryota, Metazoa, Mollusca, Cephalopoda, Octopoda, Octopodidae. The record is from Rfam.